CUGAGACACACCAUUCUUUGUGCUCUCUACUAGAGUCCUGCAUUUUGUACUCUGCAAUUAAAUGCUCCUGUCUUUAAUGUGAUAGUGAGGUGGCUGUGGUCCCUAGGCCCUGUGGCUAGUGCUGCUGUUUCCUCUGAAGAAGGCAGGCCGUUCAGCUGAGUUGAUGCAGCCAUCCCCAUGGAGCUCUGCUGGUUCAGUGCAAAAACGAUGAGGAAUACUGAAUGAACAAUUCCCAGUGGGGCAGGGGAACAGCAGCACCCAGAAGAAAGCUCAGGUGGGAGCUGCAGUCCUUCCAUGCAAAUGCCUCCUUCCUUUGGAUAUCUGAGAUGUGGCAGAGAAUGAAGGAGAGGAGAUGCUGAAUCCAUGAUGCCACCAAAGACAACAGCUGGCCAGCCACUGUUUAAAGAAACAGUGUCUUGCAUCAUGAAA
This is a long non-coding RNA of Lagopus leucura (white-tailed ptarmigan), 429 nucleotides long. RefSeq lists it as uncharacterized. The record is from RefSeq and is a predicted model, not a curated record. The transcript is spliced from 3 exons. NCBI's taxonomy places the organism in Eukaryota, Metazoa, Chordata, Aves, Galliformes, Phasianidae.